AAAAUUCGGUUCCUCUUAUUGACGGCGAAUUUGUUCUUCAUUCAUCGCCGAUCUGGUAAGCCGUUUUCUCUUCAUUCAUGGCAUACAUUCCGAUGAAGGAACGAUUCUAGUGGUAGCUCUGAAAUUAGGGUUUUAUGUUGAAAAUUUGAAAUAGUAUGAUGUGGGUUAAUUUUUCAAUUCGAUUUCUCUCUGUCGUCUGUAAUGAAACACAAAAGAGUAUGAAAAACGCGUCGACAUUACUGGUAUCGACGGCUUCGUGUGCUCUUCGUUCGCCGGAAGUUUUGUAAAAAAAAACGAUUCUUUUCUUGAAUUGAUGAAAUUUCCCUAUUUUUGCAAUUUCUUGUAUAUUGGGGGUUUUGGGUGUUGGAGGCGACGGGCUGCAGGCAACGAGAGGGUUGAUAUAUUAUAACACCUUAAUUGUUGAAAUACUUUGAGUUGAUUUUGUUGGAGUUGUUGCGAGCUGCAUUUGGGGGGAAGUGGUUUCCAAUGUGUUUAUGCAGAAGGAAUAUGAGAGAAUGGUGAUGGCACUUUGUUUGUAAUAGGAUGAUUUUGUUUGUGAAAAUUAAGAAUUUGUUUUUUUUGGUUAUGUGAAGCUAUGUAUGCUCUGUUUAGAAGCUUAUUUGAUGGGACUGUAUUUUCAAUUCCGGUGGAAAUUGAGUUGGGAAUUUGUUAACUUUGGAAUUAGAAACGAUAGAGCUGAACUAUUGAUGAGAUGUUUGGAUGAGAAUUAAUUGGGUUGUGUAUGGAGAAGGGGGUUGCAUUUUUGAGAGUGUAGGUUGAAGGGCAUAUUUCGUGGGUUUCAGGCUAUUUUUCUGUAAUUCAUUCAUAAUUUGAUUUGGUUUUGCAGUGAAUGAAUCAGCUCAAGAACAUGUGUCGUCUGCUGAGAAACAUAUUCCAGAGGGUGGCGCUAUUACUGAAAAUGGAAAAUUCUAUCGUGCCACUGCUUCAAUGCAGCUUGCACCGUUAUGAUUGAGACACGUGUAAUGUCAAAAAAAAGAAAAAAAGAGGUAACCGUGGUUUGGCUGGCUGCCCGAGGAAAAAAUUGCAGAAAUUUUCACCCGAAGAAGAAAUUGGAUCCCUGUCUGAGAUACGUCGAGAAAUUUUGGCCGAGAGCAACAUUGUUCAACGGCGAAUUUGGCGCUGAAUCCGAAUAUGUUUUCAGAUUCAAGAACGAUGGCGUAUAGAAGAAGUGCCUGAGAGUUUCGGUGAGGCGAUCACUGUUUCGGCGAAGGGCUCUCGAUAUUUGCGCCAGAUUUUUCAACGGGAACAUGAUGGUGAGUCGGAAAAAUAGUUUCUGAAUUAUUGUAUUUUUGUAUUUUGUUCGAAAUGGUGUUUUAUGUUUGAAUUUGUUAUUUUAUAAUGAAUUUGUUUCCAAUAAUUGGUCCUUCUUCGUCUUCUUGAGUGCAUCGCCGUGGUGGAGGUGCCUCUUUCGCCUCUCCUUCUCUCUGCCGACCUCACCUACUCCGAUUUCCUCAAUCCCUCUUUUCUCUCUCUAAAGAUCCAAUUUUGCUCAAGGGUUUUUGAUUGUGUAGCGUUCCAGCCGUUAGCUCGUUAGUAUUUCGAAGGUGCUGAUCUCGGCUUUCGUUUUGAUGCCUCUCUUCGCAAUUUACACUAUGAUGUACUGAAUCGUUGGUCUGGCGGUUUGCUUAUUUUGAUGGUAGUUUGAAUUGAAUAUUGGUUGAUGAUUUUCUGAAACUCGUGUAUAGGUUUAAUGUGUGCUUUUCUAGUCAACGAACAGGAAAUUUCUAUCUUACCUUUAUGGGAAUUCUCUUAUUCAACUUUUUGCAUGUCUUCUUUGCAACAUUAAAGACACUCUUGAAUCCCUUGAAGCGCAGCUGUCUUCUUUGCAGGUUCUAUUUCUGUAACAUUUUCAUUAUUUUAGGUUUUGGUAUAGUGAUUUGGGGGUUUACUAGGUGGACCUUAAUGUGGAUUCUUGGAAGUUUUCAGUUGGUUUUUCGUUUCUUGUAUCAAUUUAGAAACUGGCAAUUCUAGGAUUUUGCGAAUACUAGUAAUCGAGUUUGUUAUUCUUGAAUGGCUAAUUAUAUUUGAAGAAUUAGUUUAAGGGUAUUCUAGAUAGCUCUUGAUCUUGAAAUUUUCGAGAUGGGGUUUUGUUUCUUUGAAUGAAUUAGGAUGCUGGCUAUUCUAUGAUGAUUUACCAAUAGUUGGUUUUGUGAAGGGUUUAAUAUUUUCAUGAAUUAGGUGUAUUUUUGGUGGAAGUAUAAAAUUCAUCCAUUGGUUUGGUACUGACUGGCUUGGUUUUGCUAACCAUAGAUGUUCGUCGUUGAGAUUCUCUGCUUGAUGGUUUUAGAGGUUUUGUAACUGUUUAUUCGUUUUCCAUUUUCCCAUAUCCUUCAUCACAUGAAAAGUUUAGGAACAUGUGAGAUAUCUCAUAAAAGGUGUUGCAGUCAUUAACUUGCAUUAAGUGAAGUUGGGACUUGGGAAGAUACUCGCGUCACAUAUAUGAGACGGCUGAAGUACUUAAUGGUCGGUUUGGCCAAAACCAAGCUGAACCAAGAUCUUUCAGUUUGUCGGUUGGUUUAUUGGUUAAUCAAAGAGCAAUAAAUAUCCUCAAUGAAGAUUGGUUUAUUGGUUCAUCAUCUCUAUGAAUACGUUUUUGCAUGUAAUCAGCUCUAUGAUUACAUUGUUGCAUGCCAUCAACUUCUUGCAUGUUUUUGGAUUAUUUGAAUGUGCUAACUUAUGCAACUUGUAAAAUAUGGUGGUGGUGUAUUUGAGUUCUAUCCUUUGUCCACUUUUACUUGUUCUCCACAGUGAUUAGUCUUAAAUUUAGAUUUAGAAUUUAUAUUUAAGUAAUCUUGUUUUCUUUGAUUCAGCAGUCGUUUGGAGUUCACUGGUGUCCUUUCAGUGGUUUGACUAGGCUUCCAUCAUCUUUUGAGUAAGCCUCUUCUAACCUUAUGAGUUAAUUGUUGACGAGUCUCGACUUUUGAAGUAUGUCUAUUUUUGGUGUUCAAGUACAGGUGGUACCUCUUUUUAACCACUUUUAGAUUCCAUUUUCUUUUGAAUGUUUGUUAUCUAUGCUAUUUGUUCUAGCUGGGAACUGGUAGCACACGAGUGUACUAUAACUGGAUUUUAUGGAGUCGGGAAUAUGAUUUUAUAGUUCCUGAAAGAGCAUGUUGGUUGUUGGCUAUGAGAAUGAUGAACUUUUGCUAUGUUAAAAUCACUAGUGACUGGAAUAACCAUAUCUUUUGAAUGACAUUUGUGCCUGUACUAGAUUUUAUGAAACCUUUAGUGAAUUAUAUCUAUUUCAGUUAGGCUUGUGUUCGCAGAAUUUCCUUCAGCCGAUUUUCUGCCAGCUCUAUAUGUUCUGCUUUUUAAAAAGGUUCUGGAAAUCUUCAUAUAUUGAACACACCUACUAUUGCAUAUAGUAUGGUUCUCGCUUUCUCAUGUAGUUGGAAUAUUUAUCUACAAUUGGAACAUGCUGAUAUGUAUAAUCUUAAUAUGUCAUUGCAGAUGUACUAACAUUCUUCAUUCUUGUCAAUCCAAUAAAUUGUGUCAGUAUUAUGGCGGAUGCUAGAGACUAUUCAAUCUCAAUUUCUGUAGAUUUGACCUUGCAUCUCUUUCAUUAAUGUUACAUUGUUGGUUGUCAGUUCAUCUGUAAUCUUCUGUGUAGCUACUUGGCUAACAGGCUUUGGUUAUUUGUUUUUAUUGCAGUGAAGGGAAUUCCCAUCAAGUGCGUGUAAGAUUUCAUUCCUCAAGUAACUGUUAUUCUGUUAAGGCUUAUUUUGAAGUUUGUAAUAAUAGGAUGGUGAUUUGUUUUGUAGAUCAUGACCUUCUCGGACAUCAUGCUAUCUUUGCGGAACAUACACCCGUCUCCUCUACAUCUCAUCCUUGUCCAUAUAUUGCAUAUUUUGGGCCAAUCCAUCCAUCUUCUUCCACAUCAAGUGGGAAUGUAUCUGAUGGGUCUAGUUUUAGUAAUCACUGGAGUGGGCUGUCUGCUCCAAGUGAAGUACCGAACUCGUAUGCUUUCCCUUCAAUGGAUGCCCAUUAUCUCAGUGUGCUUGCUUGAACUUGAACUAUAACUCAUCUUUGUGCAUCAUUAUGUGCAGACUCUUAUUACGUUGUUGCAACGUGUUAGGGAACUACAUGAAGUUUUACAAUGCAAUAAAAUGGGCCUAUCCAGAUAUCAAUGUUUGCUUAUCCGUUUUCUGGAACUCACACACUUGAAAUAUGGCUUUAUUUCUCUAACCUUGGAUCCAUUUGGACCAUUUCUUCUUUUCAAGUACGAGGCCUUUGAUCGCUUCCUAUUUUCCUAUUCAGGCACUGCAGCAGCAACAAUGGUACGAAAAAGAAGCAGCCUUGGCUGAAAUCGAAUACAGCCAGAAGAAGUUGCUCAAAGAGCUGAAGGUAUACAAAGGCAAGGACUUGGAAGUCAUACAUGAGGCAGUGGCUUUUGCCAGCGAAACGGAGGACAACAACGAUCUCCUUCUCCNACCUCAAGAAAUGGACCAAAGGUGUUUUGAGGAGUCUCUUCGCUGUCUACUUCCUCGUCUGCAGAGGUUUCUCACCCGUGUUCCCGACCAUAUUUCAGGCUUUUGUGAGCGAGUACGCUGUGACAGGAGGCGAAGCUGGCAGGGGAAAUCUGCUGAAAGCACUAGCUGAGGCCGGUUUCCUUAUAGGCCUAGAGAGAAACAGGUAACCACGCACCUCUUCUUCGUCUGCCUCUGCUGGUCUGAUUCAUUUUCUUGCAGCGACGCUGUUGAGAUGGCGAGCAGUGCGCCUUUGUUUGUGAAUGACAACAAUCGGAGGUUCAAUCCAGAUGCAAUAGUUUUCGACUCUUCAAAAGUGUACGGCACGCCUACCUACUGGAUGCAGCACUUGUUCAAGGACUCAAACGGCGCCACCCUUCUUGAUUCCACGCUGCAAUCGCCUUCCUCUUCCCUCACCGCGUCCGCCAUUUCUUGGACUGAUGCAGACAGCAGCAGAAGCUACAUCAGAGUAAAGGUGAGACCAGUUUCCCCACACUCCAAAUUGAGUAAAUGAUGUUUCUCAUCUCUUGAGACUUUGUUGUGCAGGUUGUCAACUUUGGAGGCAACACAGUGAAUCUGGAUCUUUCUGUUGAAGGAUUGGACAACAAGUCUAUAGAAACAGCAGGGUCUACAUUGACUACACUAACAUCCACUAAUGUCAAGGAUGAAAAUUCCUUCAAUGAGCCCAAAAAGGUAACUUUUUAUAUUAUGAUUCUAUUCGAUAAUAUAUACUACUCCCUCCGUCCCAACAAAAGCGGUGCAUAUUCCUUUUUUAGCCGUCCCAACGAAAGUGGUGCAUUUCCUUUUUUUGGUAAUAAUUUUACAUUACAAUGUAGCCCACACACUUUUACCCUACAAUCUUAUUCUUCUUAAAUCUCGUGUCGAAAAGAAGCGCAUCGCUUUCGUCAGGAUGGAGGGAGUAGUAUUUUUUAAACUGAUUUUAAUAAUGAUAGUUAUUGCCAGUAACAAGUGUUCUACUUAUUUUUGCAGGUUGCCCCUGUUGUAAAAGCACUAAAAAAUGCCAGCAACAAAAUGAGAGUUAUUAUACCUCCAUCUUCUUUAAUUUCAACUGAUUUGCAGCUAAAAUCAAAUGUUAUUCAGGUUGCAGGAUCUAUUGGUGCACAUGCAUCACUGUAACUUGUAGCAUUCAAUAUAAUAGUAUCACGUAGUAUUUGAGAGUAUCAAUUACAAAGAAGUCUAUGAAUAUCUGGAAAAAAGAAUCAAUUUUAUUUCCUAGAUGAUAUUUAUAUAGCAGCAAUUUCUUACCUGAGUACUGAAUGUAGCAAAGCGCACAAAAGAGGAAUUACAACAAAUUACUAAGUUUUGUACAAAUUCAGAGUGUAGAUGAUCUCAGUUGACAAUAAAACUUGGUACACUUAAAAGGGAAAAUACAGAAAACUGUAAAUAUGUUCUAUCAAGUUUAUAGACUGUUAAAUUUCAGUUCCUUGGCGACGAACUCGCAAGAUCGCUGCAUGCAGAUUAUCAACAAGACUUCAAAAGACAAAAAUCUCUGCAUAACCUGAAAUCAGAAGCCAAACUUCAGAACUUCUACAGGAAAAACUGGAGCAACAAAAUCAUCAAUUUUGAAUAGCUAUACUAACCGUAAUUUUGCUUGGGCACAACCACUCAGCUCUGGUAAUUUACAUUUUGACUUCUCUGGUUCAUCUCUACAGUUUGGAUCAAAAGUUGAAGAGAUUGAUGAAUCAGAUUUCGACUUUGCAAUAGCAAAAGAAUUCGUACACCUACCAUCUUUUCAAGAGGAGCAGAAAUACUAUAGCGGGAAAUUAGUAUAAACUCAUACCUUAACUAUGGUAGAAUAUUUGAACGGAAUAUGAGAGGGUAGGUGCAGCAAAAUCCACUGCUCCAGCACUGCAAAAUAAAUAUAGUGAAUUGAGAUGGUUUCAUGUGAUGGAAUUAAGAAAAUGUAGCUAUCCCGUCACCGGAAUAAAAGCAACACUGUAUUGUAUAGGUUCAAGAUCAAAUUCAGCUUUAAUAUACACUUUUAGAACAUAUCAUGCAGUUUGGUUCUACUGUAAUACAUUCACAUAAACCUUACGUGAUGCAAUCUUAAAAAGCCCAAUACCGUAUAACACGUUACAUGCAGAAAAAGAUGAAGGUGAAGGCAAAUGACAAACCACAGAAAGCAAUGGCCCUUGUUUAAAUUUGUCGUGGAAUGAAAAUGCUACUGGCUUCGGAUUGUCAGCAGGACCUCGGAUGAAUCCACUGGAUUAGCCAAAAUACACAAAAAGAAUAUGUUUAGGAACAAAACACAUGCAUCAAGAAAGUUUGAAACAGAAAACUAUUGCAGCCACCAUAACAUGUGUGUUCAAAAUUUUGGUUUUAUGAGUAAUGAAGAAAAUAUACAUAAAUAUAUACUGAAAAGGGAACUAUAAAAGAGAUAAGACUGUCAUCAAACCCAAAGAUUUCCACUUACACCAACGAUGUUGAAAUUAAGGGAUUUCUUUUAACAUCAAAUACAGCAACGAGACCUUUGUAUUGCUCAUCACCAUCUUUAUAUGACACCGCCAAUCUCUCUCCUGAAGCAUCCCAUGCUAUCUUCUCAAUGACCUGGCUGCAGAAUAAUGAUAUAAAGUUAGUAAACAAUCAGUCAAAUAUAGUGACUGCAUGACCUUCAGGCUUCAAGUAUACAUGUACAAAUAUAAAGCCAAAUUCCUUGAGGCACUAUCUCAACACAAAUAUAACCAGAGAAUAUGCUAAGUACAUCUAACAGCUAAGUUAAAAGAUUUCUCUACCUGUCGGUCAACAAUUUUAUCUCUGGCAAUUCAACUGGUAUAAGAUGUGCAUCUGAAGAUCAACAUGAGGUUAAAAGUUAAACUCAGAAAAAAGUGAUACUCAAACAAAUACCAUUUCAAAAAAUUUGAAGACAUUCAAUCAAAUAUGAUAAAAAUGUCAUCCUCCAAAGUAUAUCUUGGAAAGUUAGCGAAGCUACCCAACAAGAAACCAAGAGACCACAUUUGCAUGUCUGUCAGGAAAAUGUCCAAAGAUUUAUAAUAUCAUAAAAAAGAAUCUUCAGAUUAAGGAACAGAGAGCAUUCUGGAAGCUCAUUCAAUAUAUGUUUGCAUUGGUGAAACUCAAAAUAAUAAAUUUUAUGCGAAAGUUUAUUAUCCAUUCAACUUAGAGAUGGUAACAUCACAUCAUCACAGAUAUGUAUGAGACAACUUAUCUGCAAACAUUUGUUAGGUACUCAUUGUUUCAAUGUCACAAGCAACGAACAGAACCAUGAACCCUUUCGACAAAAAAGAAAAGAGGGAGAACGAAACACCCAUUAUCUGGUGCUGAUAUCUAAUUGAAAAGCCACAUACCCGUGAAUUUUAUUCAAUCAGAAUAAUAGGACAAAUAUUAACAAAACAGAACAAAAGCAGGAUAUGUUACAUACCUAGCGAUGGAGGUUUGGAUGUAAAGUGAAUGGAACCUAAUGAUGAUGACUCCGAAAAAGAAAGAAGUACCAUACAGCCAUCUGGAUCCCAUGUUGCUCCCUAUCAUCAACAAUUAGAUGAAGAAUCAGACAAUAAUUUACAUGCCAAAUUUUUCCAGCAAAUAGAAAUAUGAGCAAUUAAGAUCAUAAACAAGACAAAAGACUGCAUAUGUAGGUGCACUGCUCAACUAUCUUAAUUAAUCACAUAAAAGCAUAGAUGCAGAAAAGCGGCCCAAGGCAACAGUCAUUUUUAUUUUUGCUUGUCAGCUGAAAACUAAAACUAAAACACUAUAUUCAUCUGAAAUUUUCUAAUCUAGAGCGUGUAAAUAACUUUUUUCAUGAACCCAGACUUUGAACAUAGUCACCUGAGUACAAGGCUUUCCAUAAAAGAAAAGGAUGCUUAAAAGGGGGGCAAAGUGGGGGUGGGGGCAGACAAGAAGCUGCGCAGUUUAUCAUUUUUCACUAAACCAUGAAUUCUAUGAAUAGAUAAAACUGAUAAGUUAUCACUACUUUAGAAAACAGGUUAUCCACGAACCGUGACAAAGCCAUUCUUUGAGGACCAUGGUUCCGAUGUCCAAGUGCUUGUCUCCCAGAGAUAAAAUGUUCCAUCACUGCAUCAUAAAAGGCCACUCUAAAUGGUUAUUUAAUGAUUCCAUAAUGUGUAUCCUCAGAAAGUAAUAAGAUGCAAAUCAAUUUAGAUGGCAAAUGGUAAUUUACAGUACAAUUUUGCAGAAAAGAAAUAAUCUCCCGAGGGAGACCACUUUAACAGUGAUAUGCCUCCUAGGCCCCUUCGAAUAGGAGUGCCCAGCCCUGUCAUUAAAAGAAGAGAUCCGACAUAAGAAGAAGAAAAUAACAUAGCAUGCAUGAAGUUUAUAACAGUGGCUAUACGAUGCUUUUGAAAGUUUUGCAUUUUGCAGAUUGUUUUGUAAUAGAGAUGAUAAGGAGACACAUACCUUGUGAAACAUCCCAAAUGGUGAAAGAUGAACUCUCAUAUGAAGCUGAAGCUAAAUAUGUAAAACCAAGUCAAGGAAUAUACAGAAUGUUGGAUUCACGUAAUCUUUUCCCUUGAGAAGAUAGAAUGACAGACAACAAAAGUUUAACUAAUCCUACACAAAGUCUUUAAUGGGUUAAAAUGAGUCACAAACUGAAAUUUCAGCCAACAAAUAAUAGACUGCUAAGUGGAACAACUAUAAUAUAAGAAUAUAAGUAUAUAUAGUUGAUAUGGAUAUCUUCCAUCAGGACUCCAUGAAAGUGCAGUAAUCUGUUCAGAAUCGGAACUCUGAAGGAAAUCCACCAGAGUCCAUUGUGUCACAGAGCCCCUUGAAAGUGGGUUCGAAGUCACCCCAGGUCUAACGGGUGGAAUAUUACCAGGAGAAGAAGCAGCCCAGAUGCAAAUGCCACCCCUAUCAUAAACCACAAUAAGAUUUUAACUAAACAACAACGUCCAAAGAAAAAACAAAUAUACAUUAAACAGAUUCUUUUUGUGGGACUAACUUGCAUGCAACAGAAAGGGUUUUCCCUCCAUUUGGUCUCCACUCAAGAAUCUUUACAUCUUUUUGGGACUCAUGGGACAAGAUGCAAGGAGACUUUCCAUCUGAUUGUCGACAAAAGUAAAGAGGAAAUACAUCAUUUAUGAUAGGAUCAAAGUGCAUCAACAAUCUUGAAGCACCAGAGGGGUAACCAAAAAUCACCAUCAAGAAAUUUCAUGGCAUUUACCGGAAUCAUUGUAGUCACAAAUCGUCACCUGAUGCGGUGCAGAAACAAAUGCUAAAAUCUGUUUGUGGUCGUGCCAACUUACACUGUGAAGAUCAAUACCAUUUAAAAGUUUUACCUGCAAACAAACAUAGAUGGCAGAUACAUUAAUACUUCUUGCAUCUAACCAUUGCCCUCCUCUCAAUAACUACAAAGAGCUAUAGCAUCUAAUCUCAAAACAAACACUAAAAACAUUAGAACCGGAAAGCAAGCAGACGUAUGCACAACAAAAUGCAAGUCAAGGAUGAUAAUUACAUCGGCAGGCUGCAAAAGAGGCCUGAGGGAGCCACUCAACAGAGCCUCUAGUGCCGCAGAUAGAAUAUCUAAACUACCCUUCCUCCUUUCAACUGAUUCCUGCUCAGUCCCCGUCCCUAAUAAGCUGUCUGAUUCGAAAGGGAUCGGACUGAAUACAGUCCCCUGCAAUUGUACCAAUCAAUGGCCGUACACAUCAAAUUAUUUAACAAACAAAUAUCACAGCCCCAAAAAACACUACUUUACGACAACAAAAAAGUAAGAACGAUUAGAGUGGAGUACGAGGAUUUUAGCGUAAGUAUCCUUCGCUUGAUCAUCGCCGAGGUGGUCUGCCGUAACUGCGUGGAAAUUAAGCAAAAUUUAAGGACAAAUGAGGAACCGAAAUGAGGUAAAAAGGGGUUUCCGAUGAGAAACUGUUACCUAGUUCUCUGUUGAUUUCGCAAAUGGUGACCGUGCCUGGCUGAGGGAAAGAAGGCAUCGUGUCUGGAGCUGUGGUGUUGGCGUGACUGAGAGAGAGAAAGAGAGAGAGAGAGAGAGAGAGAGAGAGAGAGUAGGGGUUAUAGUAGUUAGUUUUAGGUUACGUUNAGAGAGAGAGAGAGAGAGAGAGAGAGAGAGAGAGAGAGUAGGGUUUAUAGUGAUUUUUGGUUUAGUUCCCGCCAGGGAGCUCUGUGUUUCCCAGUAUCUGAGGGUCUAAUUUAUAAAUUCGGGAUUUUAGAGGGGGGGAAGCAUAAUAAUACAGUAUUUGAGGGUUCGAAUGACUAAAAAAGAAUUAUCAAAAUUGCCCCUCCAUUUUUCUUAUAUAUUCAGCCCUAACCACUGACACUGUAUCUCCUCUUAGCUCAGUCGCAGCCUACGCGCCUCCAGUUUUCGACCUUCUCAUCAUCUACACACCUAUACUGUAUUUCCAUAUACGUAUCGCAAUGGCGGCGGACGAAGUAGAGAAGGCGCGAGAUUCGAUAUUCCGAGACAUCAGGAGAUAUUACUGUGAGUUCUGUGGAAUUUGCCGAUCGAAGAAAGUCCUAAUCGCCGCUCACAUCCGUACUCACCACGAGGUAUGUGCUUGAUUAUGCUCUGAAUAAGGGUGGUGGAGGAUGGAGUUCGUUGCGGAUUGUGUUCUGAAAUUUUCUUCUUUUAUUAUGCGGUUUACUGUCGAAUUCUGUUGAUUGGUGAGGGAUUUUGUGAAUUGCAGGAAGAAAUUGAGGAGAAUGAGCUGAAUGAAGAAAAGGAGCAUGGCGAGAAACUGAAUUUGUGCGAAGAAUGUGGCGCGAGCUUUUGGAAGCCUGCCCAUCUGAAGCAGCAUAUGCAGAGCCAUUCUCUCGAGGUCAGUGUUUCCGAUUGAGUUAUGCGUAUAAUUGUUUCAUUCCAGUAUAACUUCACCUCGUGUAUUAUUUAUUGUGUUUUUGAAUUCGUUAUUGGUCGAGAAUUAAGAUUGAGUGUUUGCUCGGAGCAACUGGUUGAUUGAUUGUUUACUUUAUGCAUGGCUUUCAGCAUGUGAAUUUUGCUUUCCAUAUUAAAUAUGAUCUGGCAUUUUGUUCGCAUGGUCGCCUGAAUUAUGUUUUGAUAAAAGAGUGUUGCAAGUUAAUUAAUUGCUUCGUUCGGCUUAAAGUUCAAUAUCGAGUAUGUUACUGUAUCGAGUAUGUAAUUCAUAUUAGCAGUUUUCUAUUUUUUUGUUAUAAUUUUGAGAUUGAGUUUGGGAAAUGAUGCGAAUCGAUAUAUCGCUAUUUUCAGAGGCUCGGUGAAAAUCUGUUGCUCUGCUGAACAUAUCAUAUUUGCACGUCAGUCUGAUCCCAUUCUCCUCUCUUUAAAAAAAAAAAAAAAACUGUAUCGAGUAUGUUACUGGAUUCAGGAUUCAGGAUUCAAGAAUCGUCUCUAUUUUUCAUUUAUGUGCAAUCGUAAAUGGUUGGUUUUGCGGAGAAUGGUUUGGUUUGUAUAUGUGUUUCUGUGUAUCUGGGCCAUUAAACAAAUAACCUUUUGCAGAUUGAAGUAUGGCUGAACAACAUUGACAUGAUAUAUUGCUGGGCGUGAAGCAUUGGAUCCCAAAUAAAAGAACUCCAAAAUGCGAGAGGCAGCAAAUGUUACCUUGAAUGGAUCAGUACCAGGCGGGGGACCGCCUGAGAAGCUCCAUCAAGUGUGCCUCAGUCACGCUUGCUAUUCUUUGAGGUUUGGGGAUUCUUUAGUUAUGUGUUGGUAGGUCACGAGUAGCUCCUACGAAAGUUCUGCACUAUAAUCUCCUGAUAAUAAGUGUGUUUCAUUGCAGAGGCCUUUCGUUUGUUCAGUGGAUGACUGCCACUCCAGUUACAGAAGGAAAGACCACUUGACAAGACACAUGCUUCAGCAUCAAGGGAAAUUGUUUGAAUGUACUUUUGAGGGCUGCAAGGUGAUGUUUACAAUACAGGGUAAUAUGGACAAGGCAUGUCAAGGAGUUCCACGAUGAAUCUGCUUCUACUAAAGUUAAGCAACACGUAUGUUUGGAGCACGGGUGUGGGAAGGUCUUUAAAUAUCUCUCCAAAUUGAAAAACCAUGAGGAUUCUCAUGGUAAAGUUACUUUAUUUUGAUUCCUGUGCAAACAAGUUAUAUUAUAAUGGAAAUGCGAGUUAUUCAUUAGUUAAGUUUUGGGUUUAAUGCAGUUAAGCUGGAUUCGGUGGAGGCAUUCUGCGCAGACCCAGGCUGUAUGAAAUACUUUUCCAAUGAACAGUGCCUUAAGGAGCAUAUUCGGUCUUGCCAUCAACACAUUACAUGUGAUCAGUGUGGCACGAGGCAGCUAAAGAAAAACAUCAAGCGUCACAUGCGCAUGCAUGAAGAAGGGCCUUCCUCGGAGAGGAUCAAAUGUAGUUUCAAGGGAUGCACGCUAACAUUUUCAACUGUAAGCCCCUUCCCUUCCAAAUCCCAUUUACUCAAAUGUUGCCCCUCCUCGUUAAGCUCAUCUUGUACACAACAAUUUCUUCAGUAUUAAGCAUGUUUCACUUGGACAUUUGACUUUGUAAACUGCAAUUAUCUUCACCGUACUUGUUGAAGAGUUUCUCAGCAGACUCCCUUCUCAUGUACAGACAUCAAAUCUCCAUCAACAUAUAAAGGCUGUGCACCUGGAACUAAAACCAUUUGUCUGUGGCAUGCCCGGUUGUCACGAGAGAUUUGCAUUCAAACAUGUGAGGAACAGGCACGAACAAACUGGGUGCCACAUCUAUACUCCUGUAAGAUCUCUUACUUCUUGAGCCAAUCAAUAAUCUUCAUCACAAGCCAAUGUUAGCAUUUCUGCAGCAGCAUAUGAAACAAUACCUUAUAGCUGGAUUAUGACCUGUCGUGUUCAGGGAAAUUUCGAUGAAUCUGAUUUGCAAUUCCGGUCAAGGCCAAGAGGUGGCAGGAAAAGGAAGUACCCGGUCAUCGAGACACUGUUGCGGAAAAGGAUUGUUCCGCCCAGUGAAUCUGAGCUUGUCAGCAACGACGAAUACGAGAACUCGUCAUGGUAAAUCCGUUUAGAUGUAUCUCCACAGUAGCUGACUCUCUCAAUUAAGGAUCCAGGAAUUUGGCUAUGUUACGAUGUGUACAAUCCUAUAUCGGUCGUAUGUAUAAAAUGUCAAAUAUUAGUAUAGCUUUGGGAAGAAAACAAUUGCUAAAAUUUUGUCUAACUGGUGCAGUGGGUUUGUAUAUGGUUUUUGUUGGUGCAAAUAUAAUUAGUCUUUAUUUAUUUAUCUAUCUAUUUUGCCCUGGAGAUUAUUUGGCUCUUCUGCUUAAUUUGUAGUCUUUUUCCAUUUUUAUGACCCAUUUCUUCAAUUUUACUAGUAUUCUUUGAAGGUCUCAAAGGGGAAAAAAAGAGAGUAUUCUGGUGUAGGCCCAUCAAUGCCACUUUAGGGCGUAUGAUACAAAAAUUAGCUUUUUUAUUUAUGAUUAUUUCCUCAUUUAAUAACUUAUCUUUAUAACCAUGUGAAUAGUUUGGAAUUUUUGUCAUAAAUACAUGGACAUCCUACUACUAUUAUUAUUAUUAUUAUUAUUAUUAUUAUUAUUAUUAUUAUUAUUAUAGUAAGUCCUAUUAAAUCUUUUAAGAAUUUAUAUAUAUUGUUCACUCCUAAAAUAGUCCAUCAAUUCCACUCUAGUCUUUAGGGCAUAUGACCAAAAAAUUUAGUUUCUUUAUUUAUAUGUUUAUUUUCAUCAUGAUUCUUGAGAUAAAGAUUUACAUUUAAAUCAUCAAAUUAAGGAUCUUUAAUUUAACAUCCAUAUUGAGUAUUUCUUUCAUGAAUCGAAAUUAAUGACUUUUUGAAAAAAAUAAAAUAAAUUAGAAAAGAAAAAAUAGAUAAAAAUUGGAGGGAAAAAUUAUGAGAGAGAUAAAAAAAUUGGAGGUAAAAAAACUCCUCUUUUAUUAUUAUAUAUAUAGAUAUAUAGAUGUUAAAAAACAAUAAAAUUUUGAAAUGUCUGAUUUAUAGAAUUGCAAGUGUCGACCCGAACCGGAAACCGUAUCCGUAAACCCAUACCCAUAUAUCCGAAUUGGUCACAUCCAUAAUACUGUGCAGUUUUCCCUCCAAUACUGAAUAGUCAAAAAUGGAGCUGGAGCCCUGGGAAGCUUUAGAUCUCGACGAUUCUGACCUUCCUUCUCUCCUCCGCCCCUGCAAACGACGACGUUCCUCCUCUCCUGCCGCCUCCGACAACCCUCCUUCGCAGCCAGCGCUCGAGCAACUACCAGCUUUCUCCUCGCGCCGCCCCGCUAUUCCCGGCCCCGCCGGAGCUGUCCACGCCGCGAUGCUCCGCAAAAAUCACGACCGCGAGAAUCACAAUGUCUCCGACCAUGAUAAUGGUAACGACGGCCUACUUUCUACCCAAGACUACAUACGGAAGGCCAUGGACGAUACUGCGGAAUUCGAUGAUGACUUCUCUCGCCAUCCUUGGCUUUCCGCCCUCCAGUUUCUCGGUAAUUGUGACUUCGUCCACGCUAAUUUCAUCGAUUUGUCUAGCUCUUGUUACCGCUAAUUGGCCGAUUGAUUCUUUGUUGAGAAGUUUUGGUCCAUUGUUUGCAAAUGUAAAUAUUUCUAUUCAGUUUAGCUUGUUUGGUUUUUCUAGGUGCGAUGGAUUCUGAUGAUUGUAAUAGAAUCGUUGUUUCUAACUUUCAGGUACUGCAGAUGGUCUGAUUCCGAGCACACCUAUCAGCUCUAUCAAGAAAUGUUUCAAUGGCGACAAGGUUGAUCAGGUAUUGAAUAAGUUCUGAAGAGAGAGAUUUUGGGGAUAAUAGUAAGUCUAGAUGAUUAAUUCAUGAGGCUAUUCUUAUGUUAAGGUAACAUUUCUGCUGUGGUGAUUGACCAAAAUCAUGGUAUGUGGCUUCAAACUCAAUAAUCUGAGUGAAGGGAAGCAAUGUCGAAUCACAAAUUGAUCACAAAAUAUACUUGCUUAUUUGCUUAAUCUAUAAAGCAUCCAUUUGUUUGGUUUGAGCUCGGAACACUUUUAAUUUAUUCUUGACAUGCUUGAUUUUCUUGUGUCAGGUUGUAGCUGUUGUCAAGUCAUGCACUCCUAAUGGUCUUGGGGGUUUGUUAGUUUCAUUGAAGGUAUAAAAGGGGUAAUAAGGAUUAAGGAUAAGAACAAUAACAAUAACAGUAACUAAUAAGAUCGCGUAGUUUAUGUUACUGACUUGAUGGUCUUCAAACUUAGGACCCAACUGGUACAAUUGGUGCUAGUAUUCACCACAAGGUCCUCUCCCAAACCGAGUUUGGCAAGGAGUUAACUACUGGUGCAGUUCUAAUACUUCAGAAGGUAUGGUCCAACUGUAGUUUCCUGUUCGUGUGAAUGUUAUUUAUACCCUACUUGGGAUAUGUCAGCAGGAUCAUAGUUUUCUUUACUGCUGGUUUUCGUUUCGUUGACUGACUAGAAGUAGUCUCAGGUUGCCAUCUUUGCCCCUGUGAGGUCAGCGCGUUAUCUCAAUGUAACAACGAGGAAUUUAGUGAAGGUAAUUUCCCCCCUAAUUUGAAUGAUCCUAGAGAACUUGCUUUUCCAUAUUAACUUAUAUGGAUUAGGAUCGUUGUCUGCAACUAAAGCAGUUUCUCAUUUCAACAUUCAGCUUCCUUUUCUUGGAUUACUAAUUUAUGACAUUUAUCUACGUUGCAUUGGCCUCAGCUUAAAAUAAUAAAGUUCAUUUAAUGAAUUUUUUUGGUCAAACAGAAUUGUCAUAGAUGUGGGAAACAUGUGUGCGUGUCUGAUCCUGUAAUUUGGAAAUUGACAAUAUCCUAGAUGCUAAUAUCAUGAAGUAUGCUCACUAUAUGCCCCUUACCUGUAUGAUAGUUGAAGCAUUUUAAUCUGCUUGUUUAGCAUCUUUUGACAAGACAUUAUCAUGAACACUGUUAAUAGUCUCAAGGUUACAUCUAUUCAUUUCUAGAUGUAUAUUUGAUCUGUCUGUCUUAUUGCUCCCAUGGCUUUCAUCUGCAGGUAUUCUGCCGAAACAAGGGAUCCACUUCAGAACUUCAUAAAUCUGUUCAGCCAGUCCAGUACGCUGAUCCUGAUAUCGGUCUGCAGGAGAAAUUUAAUUUUAAUUUACUUGUUUUAAAGCUAACUGGAAGCUAAACAUUCAAGGGUCUUUCAUCCUUUUAAUCUUUCCAACACUUGAUGCACAGAAUCUAGUCGAAAAGCCAGAGCCGUGGAGAAGGUGUCCUCCAUGCAAAAUGUGGUACGCGAAGACACUGAGAUGAGACACUGCACGAGAACUGAGGAUUCCCAAAAUGAUAAUGUAAUCCAGAAGCAGAAUGCUUUUGCUGGAAGCAGUCAAUCCAAUAACAGAGACAGCUCAAACGUAACUGCAGCCGAGAGAGGAGGGUACAUUAAUCUAAGCCAGCACACUAGGAUUGCUGAAGACGAACAGGAGACUGUUAACGGCACCAAAAGAGGGGCAAAGGGAGGUAGCUUGGAAGGUAGCCUCCUCAAGGACACUGAUAAUAUGGCCAGCCCUGUUGCAGAAACUACAGGUGAAAAAGGUCGAGAGACCAAUCCAGUGCAAAUGCAAAGGCAUCCUCUAAUGUCGACAGCCACUCUGCCACAGUGGACAGACGAACAGUUGGAUGAACUUUUCACUGGCGAUGAAGAUGAUGGCUCUUUAUUCUAAUAAGGUUUGCAAAAGGUUUUUUUGUCGAAUACUACAAGACAUUGCAAAUCUUGACAUCUUGAAGCUGCCAAGAUUCAAUGGAGAAAAAGAAUCAUAGACAUCUAACUAUGAAUAUCAGAGAAGUAUCUUGAUCCACAUGCUUGCUUAGGCCAGUAGGAUUACUGCCACUGUAUAGCCUAAACAUAGGAAUUGAAGGAAUUUAACAAAUGAAACUAUCAUGCUUCCUUAGCACACAUAUAUAGAAGGAAAGAAAAGACAGCAAUUUUUUUUUGUUUACUAUGUAUGUUUGCUGCUUCAUUCUUUAAUAUUAGUCGAAUGUUUUAAACUGCCAACUAUAAAAAUGUCGUGCAUUGCACAAAUGGUUAUACUAGUUAUUAUUUCCACUGUCUCACUUUAAUAUGCUUACUUCUUUUGGGCACGAAGAUUAAGAAACUUAUUUUUUAAGAGGAAAGUAGUAUGAUCCACAAUAAUAAAGUAUAUAGUACUUUUUAUUUAAAAUGGAAAACGAGUUUAUUCUAAUGGGACGUCUCAAAAAAGAAACAAGCCUAUUAGACUAAGACGGAGAGAGUAUUAAUUAAAAGAUCCAACAAAUAUAAAUUCAGCGCACAAAUUACCAGGCCCAACGGCACUUCAAUUUUCAUGUUUGUAUACCUUGAGACUUGAAUUGAAACGAGAGACAUCUAAAUAAAAAUAAUUUUAAAGAUCGGAUUAUUGUGAAUUCAAACUCAGAAUCUUUGGUCUCGAGCAUUAAUCACCAUAAUUUUUUACCUCAAAUACUAAUCACCUACUGACUACUGCUAAUCAACACACACAAAAGAAUCACCUUGUCACUUUUUUUUUGUUUGAUAAUUUAACGGUAUUAAAUAAAAAAAUUUAAAGUCGCGUCACAGACAACUCGAACCUAAGACUUUGACCUUAAACAUUAAUCAUUUACGGUUUUGGCCAACACACGCACGCGUCACCUUGUCACCUUAUUAUUGAGUUUAGUCGUCGAAGUGGUUGGGAAAUGGUCUAAAGAGUAGCUACCUUGACAAGUGGAAUUAAUAAUCAAACCUCUCCCUCUUUUCUCGUAGAACUCUCCAAGUCCUAAUUUCUCUGUUCAGUCGGUGUGUUUAGACAUCGACAAAGCCUGCGCCGACUUUUGGUGGGGAGUCUCAGAGUCAGGUAAACGUAUGCAUUGGGCCAGAUGGAAAGCGCUUUGUGAGCCGAAAUUAAGAGGAGGAUUGGGGUUUCGUCAGAUGGAGCCCUUCAACCAAGCUCUCCUCGCCAAACAAGCGUGGAGAAUUAUUAAAUAUCCCAACUCUCUAUUGACACGUGUCCUUAAAGGAAGAUAUUUCAAAGAUGGGGACGUGGCUGAUGCAAAAGUCUCUACCAAUGCAUCUUACUCGUGGAGAUCUUUAUGUUGGGGUAGGGAAUUGCUUAAAAGGGACUGAGGUGGAGGAUAGGCGACGGUAAGCAAAUUAAAGCCUUUUCAGAUGCGUGGAUUCCGAGCGAGGGUUCUGGUGUUGCCUGCUCGAGUGCCAACGGAGGAGAGGAUCUGGUUGUGGCUGAUUUUUUCACUUGCGAAGGCAAAUGGGAUGAAGCUCAAGUCCGUAAUUCUUUUCUUGCACAUGAGGCUUCUGCUAUUUUUUCUUUGAACAGGGAUAUGCCGGCAGCUAAGGAUGACCGAUAUUGGCGUUUUGAUGAGAAAGGGAAGUUCUCCGUUAAAUCUGCUUACCUGCUCGCUGUGGGUUUUUUUGACUCGCACCAUGCUCUAUCUAAGUCAAAUCAACAAGUUUGGUGGAAGAAAGUUUGGUGUGCUAACAUCCCGCCAAAAGUGAGAGUUUUCUUAUGGCGAGCGACGACGGAUCGGAUUGCUACUGACGCUAACCUGUUCCGGCACCAUAUUCCUAAUAACGGUAUGUGCUCGUGGUGCCGCAGGGAUUGGGGAAGUACUGUUCAUUGUCUAAUUCAUUGUGAGGUGGUUAGCUCGGCGUGGAAGAGAUCAAAAUGGUGGAGAUCGCUGAAAAGAUGGAAGUAUUUGGCCCUUCAUGAUAUUUGUUCUCUUGUUUACGAAGAAGGUGAGAGGAAGGACUUUGAGUUGUUUUGCAUUUACUUAUGGAAGGUCUGGAAUUGGCUUUGUGAAGUUAAGCAUGGUACUCUACCAAUGGGGAAAUUGGAAUGGCUGGAGGGAGAGGAUUUCCUUGAUAUGUUCCACAAGGCUAGGGCCACGGCUUCUGUAAACAUGCAGAUCCUUCCCAAAGAAGGCGAUAGGAACUGGUUUCCGCCAAGAAGAGGGGUUUUAAGGCUUGACGUGGACGUUUCAGUGCAUGAAGACGACGGAGCAACAGGGGUGGGUUUCGUUUUGAGGAACUUCUUGGGCGAGCUUAUUGCUGCCGGUGCACAUCGAAUUGGAAGGACGGAGACUGUGCUUAUGGGAGAUCACGCUUUGCUUCUCGGCAUUGGGUUCUGCCUCGAGAAUGAUACUGGCCCGAUCAAAGUCUUCACUGACUCACUCCUUGCGGUGCACGUUGUUCACGAGAAAUAUAAGGGAAUGGAGUCCCUCAGUGAUGAGUUGUUUGAGGCUUUCAGUCACGCCAAAGAACACAUCGUCCUUGAGUUUUGCCAUAUGCGCCGUGAGGCCAAUAGCGUUGCUCAUGCGUUAGCUAAUUUUGCUGCUUCCUCCCUUGGUGUAACUGUCUGGAAGUCGGCCUUCCCGAGCUGGCUGAUAGACAUUUCUCUUAAUGAUUUAAUAUAAAUCUUGCUGUUUCGUUCAAAAAAAAAAAAAUUCUCUGUUGCAGAAUCCAAAUUCUUUGCAAUCUCGAUUGAAGAACUUGUAUUCACUACAACGAGUUCCUUAUCCUUAUUCCUCUACACACACUCUCACCAAUAGUGAAUCAAUUUGACCAAAGAAAUUCGAGUUUGGAAUUGUUGCGAUGGCAGAAGCAGUGGUGUCGACGGCUCUGGAAACCCUGCGCGAUUUGUUGUUGGAAGAAGCAAGGUUUUUAUCUGGCGUGGGCGACGAAGUGAAGGAGCUCGAGUGGCAGCUGAAAGAGAUGAAGUGUCUUCUCGAAGACGCCGACAAAAGGCGACAUGAAAGCAAAACCAUUCUCAAUUGGAUCUCAGAGAUCAGAGAUCUUGUAUACGAAGCCGAAGCUGCCAUUGAAAGACACGCAGCUUAUCAAGUGUCUUCGAGGAGAAGACGAGGCCUCCGCAGAUGUAGUUGUCGUUUGGGAGAAUACAAGUCGAUCCACCGAUUAGGCUCCGAGAUUUCACCAAUCAAAUCCCGUCUUGAAAGGAUAAACAAGGCAAUGGUAGAAAAUGGCAUAAAGAAGAGCAUCAUCAACAAUAGAGAUGGAGGGGCCAACNAAUAGUUGAAUCAAUUUGACCAAAGAAAUUCGAGUUUGGAAUUGUUGCGAUGGCAGAAGCAGUGGUGUCGACGGCUCUGGAAACCCUGCGCGAUUUGUUGUUGGAAGAAGCAAGGUUUUUAUCUGGCGUGGGCGACGAAGUGAAGGAGCUCGAGUGGCAGCUGAAAGAGAUGAAGUGUCUUCUCGAAGACGCCGACAAAAGGCGACAUGAAAGCAAAACCAUUCUCAAUUGGAUCUCAGAGAUCAGAGAUCUUGCAUACAAAGCCGAAGCUGCCAUUGAAAGACACGCAGCUUAUCAAGUGUCUUCGAGGAGAAGACGAGGCCUCCGCAGAUGCAGUUGUGGUUUGGGAGAAUACAAGUCGAUCCACCGAUUAGGCUCCGAGAUUUCACCAAUCAAAUCCCGUCUUGAAAGGAUAAACAAGGAAAUGGUAGAAAAUGGCAUAAAGAAGAGCAUCAUCAACAAUAGGAAUAGGGAUGGAGAGGCCAACAACAUGUCAAGGAAGACUUUCCCCGAAUUCGAGAUCGGAGAUUGCUUCGUGGGGAUGGAGGAUGAGCUGAAGCAGCUUGGUAAUCUCCUAAGGCGAGACAACGAGGAUAGAGUUGUAUCAGUGUGGGGGAUGGGGGGAUCAGGCAAGACCACCAUUGCCAAGAAGCUCUACAACGAGACCGGCUUCGAUCGUUGCGCGUGGGUUUGCAUCACUCAGCAAUGUCAGAGUUUUCAAUCAGUUUGGGAGGAUGUUCUGAAGCAGCUAGAGCCACAAGUAAGGGAGGAAGCUGUUCCGAGCCUGAGCGAGUCGGAGUUGAACGAGCGACUGUGCAAGACGCAAAGAGAGAAACGAUGCCUCGUUGUUUUGGACGAUCUCUGGAAAGUUUCUGAUUGGAAUGAGUUGAAGCAUCCCUUCCUCGUCCAUGAUUUGGAAAGCAAAAUCUUGAUCACCACGCGCGAACAGGAAGUUGCCGAGAUUGGAUCUCCUGUAAAACUUGGGCUUCUAAAUAUGGAAGAUGCUUUGGAACUGCUCAAGAAGAAAGCAUUUCCACAUACCAACAUUCCAGGUUAGUUGUGUGUGUAUGCAUAAUAUGGUGCUUUAGUUUCUUUUCUAGCUAAGUUAUAAGUUGUGUAGUACUAUUCAAUUAAUUGUCAUGUGUUAUUUCAAUACAGACUUUGCAUUGGAAGAAAAUUUUGAGAAAAUUGGGAAAGGAAUGGUGCAGAAAUGUGGGUUUUGCCAUUGGCAAUUUCUCUACUGGUGGGGUGUUGAGAAUGAAAAAUUCGAUGAAGGAGUGGGAGUUAGUAAAUGAGGAUAUCAAAGCAUUCAUAUAUAGAGACGAAGGUGAGAUUGAUGGAGUGCUAAACUUAAGCUAUGAAAGUCUACCCUAUUAUUUGAAGCCUUGCUUUCUCUAUAUGGGUAUAUUUGAAUAGGACGAAGAUAUAGAUGUUGACGAUCUAUAUAGUAGAUGGAUAGCACAAGGCAUGAUUUCAUAUGAGAAUAUUCGAGACAAGGACACAACUUUGUUUGAAAUCGCAGAGCUCUACUUGGGUGAGUUGGACUCCAGGUCCAUCGUCCAAGUUCAAAUUCACGAGGUGUCACACCGGAAGAAAAUAUAGGAGCUGCAAACUUCAUGAUGUAGUAAGAGAAGUAUGUUUGAAAAUGGGGAAAAGGGAGGAUUUUGGUGUGCUGAGUUUGGAGUAUCAAACUGGGAAACUAAUUAGUACCUUACUACGACAAGCUUCUUCUGAUAUGAAAAUACGACAUUUGGUUAUCCAUUUUAGGAAAAAAGUCGAAUUGGAACCUGACGAGCUUGGAGAAGAUAGUAGCAAACGUUUAAGGACUCUUCAAAUGUUCAAUCACAGUAAUUUGUUGAGCUUCCCAACAAAGUAUAGUUGAUUUUCAGAGAUUCAAAUUGUGAGAGAUCUAUUUAUGGUGGGAUUCAAAUUUGCAGAAGAAAGUUACCGAAAGGAAUCACUAAUCUUGUGCACCUUAGACGUUUGCGUUUAGAAGAAUGUGCAUUUGAUAAGUUACCAUCUCCAUAAGGAAUUUGGUAUACAUGGAUACCCUUGAUUUAACUGACUCGAUGAAUGUUGAAGUUCCAAAUGUUUUUAAGGAGAUGCUACGUUUAAAGCACUUGCUUCUUCCGGAGUAUGAGGAAAAUAUUGGUAGUUAUCGAUUAACAUUGGAUGAGGGAGUGGUUGAGUUGGAGACCCUAUGGGGGUUGGAUAGUAGAGUGCAUGAAUUAAAAUGUAUGAACAGAAUGAAGAAUCUGCGAAAUUUCUCAACAAAAAUAACGACAACAAAAGCUUGUCAACCAUGAUCGACGCCAUUGCUAUCAUGAUCAAGUUAGUGUUUUGUAUGGUUGAAAUCAAAGAGAGUUGCGAGUUAGGAACAAAUGAGGGAGUGUUGAACAAGGCACUCACAUGUCCCAAUAUUCACUACUUGUCGAUUGAAGUUAAGUUAGGGAAGGCUCUGGCAGAGUGCGGGCGUGACUUCAUCAGCUCUAAACUACAGAUUUGGAGCUGCGAGAAUGUGAGAUUGAGGAUGAUCCAAUGGGAAUACUGGGGAAGCUUCCUUGCUUGACAGAUUUGUAUUUAGGGAGGAAAUCAUUUGUCGGGAAGGAGAUGACGUGUCCAUCAAACAGUUUUCCACGCCUCAAGACGCUUUUCCUAUGUCAAUUACCAGAGUUGAGGGAGUGGAGGGUGGAGGCAGGAGCCAUGCCCCUUCUCUCUCAAUUACAGAUCUGGAAUUGUGAUAGUCUGAAGACGGUUCCAAUGGAUUGAGUGGCAUUUCUCUUCGGGAACUGAAGAUCAAUGGAGAAUUGGGGAAGAGGGUAUCGGCAUCAGGAGAGGAUUUCCACAAAGUCAGUCAUGUCUCUUCAAUUAUCAUCCGAAACUAGUAAUAAACAUAUAAAGGAGCAUUUACUUUGAAUGAUUAGUCUUGAUAGAUAAAAAUAGUAAGGUUAAUCCCUUAUUUACUUUGUUGGAUUGAAACUUUGGGAUAUCUCAAGCCCUUAAUUAUUUUUGCAUUUAAGUAAGUUUUGUUGAUUCUUAUUCCACCAAAAAAAUUGAAUUGAGUAAUCCUACUCUUAAGGCUAAAAAUAUUUAAUAUCCAUUUUAUAAUCAUGAAAUAAAUGCUCCUAAUAGAACAAAGAUUUGGAAUACAUAGACAGCGUAGUGUUAGUGUUACUAAAAACAUGAGAGGCGCAUGCCAAAAAGACAGCUUAUAAUUAUCAUAUGACUAUUUGAAGGUGACUGAUUAUAAUUAUUACCCCUUCCGCCAUGAAAGAACUUUAGGAGAGUGCACUUUUAAGAAAAAAUUUGUUAUGUAUUGAGCUUUCUAGAAGGAAGUGGCACGAGUUUUAAGAAAAAAGUGUUAGUGUAUUGAGAGUAUGAAUGUGUUACUAUAAUAAUAUUGAGAGUUGUGAUAAAAUGAAAAGUAGUAAUUUAAUGGUGGUAUAUCCAAAAAUAGGUAAAGUUUUUUGUGACUCCCAAAAAAAAAGAUAUAGGAAGUUCUUUCGUAAAUUGAGGGAGUAUUAUCUAAAAUCAUAUUCGCAUUAAAAUCAGCACAUUGUAUCUCUUGGAGUUUUUGUUGAUGCUAUGUAAAAUUCACAUCUACUAGAAAAACGAACAAAACAAGCACUUUGGUAGAGGCUACCAACUCCAUUGCUUUCAUACACGUUUAUUUUGAUAACUUAUCAAAUCUAAUCUGGUAAUAACAAGUUACCAUCAUAAGAGAUCCAGAGCAACAAUAUCUAGUUUGAGAUAAGUGAUCAUAUAUUAACCAUAUUCUCUACUUAACAAACCAGAGACAUUACUUAUUUUUUUAAUAGGGAAAAGAGACAUGAUGCUGCUAUAAAAGAAUCCAAGCUUUUAUUGUUGGCUGGCACAGCAAAAUUUCAACCAACAGAAAAAUAAUAUAACAUGGUUUGGAUUAUAGCCUGAACACAGCCCAUAUAUCUCAGAUCAAUAAACAAAUAAAUGGCGUAUACUACAGCUAAAGAGUGUGGACUGUGUCCGAGUAUCUCUCAUCCGGUCCUCUCCUCUCGCUUGCACGACAAAAAGGCGGCUACCAUCAAAGACUUUGGUUUUUCAUAGUAAAUUGGUAACUGGAAGUUGCUUAGAUGAAACGAACUACUGAGUGAUGCGUGCCGUUUACACAAAACAUCUAUGGGGGAUUGAGGUAUAUCCGGAUGCUUCAUCUACUACUGAAAUAACUUCCUCAGCCUGUCCAGAGAUUGAGACGCUCUUUUGUUGUUUGGCUCAAGAACGAGGGCGUAUCCAAAAUCUGCAAGGUGAGAAAAGAUUGAAGCAAAAUAACAACCUAGUUUCUUCAGUCAAAUGACUUCAUUCUGGACGACAAGUCUGAAUACAUUUUGGAGUUUUUUUCAAGUAGGAAGCAUUUUUUAACGCAAUUGUGCAAAUAUUACCAGUCCCCAUGCUUGAGUUCGACCAUAGAUAUUAAGUUUUGGUUUGCCAAACAAUUGAAGUAGACUCACCUUCCAUUGCUUCUUUAUAGUAGCCCAACAUUUCCCGCGCUGUUCCUCUCCUCAAAUAGGACUUCACAUUCUGCAAGCACGUCGAGAAUGAAUUAUCAGGAGUAAAGGAUGUGUUUGAAAGUGGUAUGGAAAAUUCACAACUUGUUUAGUGAACAAUACAACUAUCAGUUAAUCAAAAUACACCAUUGUGCUAAUGACAUGACAAAAGGAUAAUCUCAUCUUAAACCGUACAUAGUAUAAAAGAAAGAGGCUCACUUAAUAGUCGCGUCAGAUUUCUUAUGUUGAGGAUGCAGAAACAAGUUGAGAUCACAAAGGAUACAGGAACAUGAGAAACAAUAUUUCAGUUUGAUACAUAAUAGGAAGGUCAAAGGGAGUCUCAAUCGGUCUUUUCUAGGAUUCCUUAUCACGCCACACAUAGAGUUGGGCAAAGGGGUCCAUUGCUGUAAUAAACCACAUGAUGUUCAACUAAAUAUACUCCCUCCGUCCACGAAACAUCUCCCUAUUUUUCCAUUUUCGUCCAUCCAUGAAACAUCUUCCUAGUUCCAUCUUUGAAAAUAAUUCCAUUAUCACCCUUACAAUUCUGGUUUUCCUGAUUCGAAAUAUCAUGGGUGCACAAUAAUACAUAAGAUGAUGAUGUCUAAACAAAAAUAAAUAAAAGUACUCGUCCAAAAAGAGUAAAUAAUAUUAUGUUAUAUACUCCCUCCGUCCACAAAAUGAGUACCCAUUUGUGGACGGCACGGGUUUUAAGAAAUGUAUGGAGUGUAGUGUUAAUAGUUUAAGGGUCCCACUUUUUGAAUGUAUUAAUUAAAGAGAUGUGUGUGGUACACUUGCCAAAAAGGGAAAUGGGUACUCAUUUCGUGGACGGACGAAAAAAGAAAUAUGAGUACUCAUUUCGUGGACGGAGGGAGUACAUCACAAAAGACCAACUCAAGAAGGGGGGUGGGAAGUUCAAAGAGGCAGACAGCUGACCUUCUUAUCGAGAUCAAUCGCUUGGCUACAAUCUGCUUCAGCUUGGAUGUAACUGGAAAAAAAAAUUAACAUAAACCUCUAAGAAGAAUAAAUAAAUCAAAAUGCCCAGUUCCACUCAACUACCUUCCAAUCUCCAAGUAAGCUGCGGCUCUGUUACUAAAAUAAGUUGCAUUAGUACUAUUGAGCUUGAUGGCUUCUGUAUAAAAUCCAAUAGCCCUCUGCCAUUGUUUAUCUUUAAAUGCUUGGUUGCCCUAAGAUAAGAGAAAAAUAACAUGAUGUCAGAUUGCUUUUGAAAAUAAGCCAGAUGUAUAAGCAAGACAUUUUAAUUUUAUUCUUUGCCAACCUACAGAAACCAAACGGAACCGGAAGAAAAUAAAAGAAGACUCCCAAUCCACUUUGACAAGAGAGCAAAUUUAUGGAUGACCGUUCGCCACAGUUGGGUUCCAGUUGGAACCAACACCAGCUAGGACUCAUUCAGUAAACCAGAGAAACAUCUGUAGUUUAAAUAAAUACAGAAACUGUCCCUUCAGGGACAUCCAAGCAGUGUGAAGUCCCUCUGUGUUAACAGAGAGGUAUAGGGUGCAAACCCCACCGUCCCCCCAUCUCCCAACUCCAAAAAUAAAGAAAUAAAGAAAAGAGAACUAUCUUCUCAAGACUUUGGAAGGUCAGAUAAGAAAAGUCUCAUCAACUUAUCAAAAUACCCAAGGAGGACCUCAAAUUCAUAAACAAUCUGUAGAGGCAGUUAACGCCAGCAUCGGAAAAGAUAUGCCUAUUUAGAAUCUACCUUUUCUUUGGCGACAUCAGCAGACUCUUCAUUUGUCAUAGCUUUAGUAGAUACUUUAGGCUUUGAAGCUGUAUCAAGCUGUUCCUGUAAAGAUGUAUACAUAGACUGCAGUGUAUCUAGCAGAAACCUAUCACCCCCAUGUCUGGCAAGAAGUGACAAAGAAAACGGACACUUUUCGUGGACUCCCAGUGGUACUGCAACCUAAAAUGACAACAGAAACUCAAUGCGACAAGAUUUAUAUGCAUGCCAAAUUUACAAGUGCCUAUGCAAGAGAUAGGAAUAUUAACCUGACAACAGCCUGACAUACUAGCUAAACUUGACAGGGUAGUCGCCUGAAUCAAAUAUUCCUUAGAAAAGUUCUCCUUGGCUUCAAGUUUUGGAGGAGGACCAGGGGCAGUAGGAAUAACUAAUAUUCCGUCAUCCUGUUUAGACAGUAUUUUUUCAGGCAACAAGCAUCAGUCGGACAGUGGCGCAAGCAGAGAUGUGAUAAGUAUCAAUAUGACAACACUUAUCUUGGAAAGUUAUUGACUAGCAAAAGGAUCUCUAGAUUGUAUCAUAACAGCAAGAUACUUGUCAUUUGAAAUAAGCAAACAUAGUGGCAAAAACGGUUUCGUAGUUACAUUUUUAUUAUCCUAAAGCAAGCUCUCGAAACUUCAAUCUAGUAACAGAUGAACAAACUUAAGCAAUGGAACAAAGUAUGCCGAAACUGAAAUAAAUGGGAUCCUAAUAUCAUACAUAUAUUAUCUUUGGGAUUAACCAAAUAAAAUGACCAAAUCCACCAGCAGCAAAGGUUCGACGACGUACAGUUUUAUAAGUAGGUGAAGCAUGUGUCAGUCCUAAAGAAUAACAUCUUUCAACCAAAUGCAAUAUGACAUCACAUAUCAAAAUAACUAUGCAUAAAAAGGUUAGCUAGCAUUAUAGGGCGGCGGCAAAUAGAAAAUUGAUGGGAUAAAAAUUCGAUAUGUUCUAAUAGAGAGCUAGCGCGUUUUUACAGAGUAUGAAGACGUAAAAAUUAGUUUUUGUGCUGACUGCUGAUACAUUUUUGUUUAUUUGUAACAACUUAAUAUUGUAUUAUUGACUAUAUCUACAGAAAAUUAAGCAUGUGUAAGAGAUUGGUUCAAAUAGCCACAUAAAGCAGCAAACAAAGGAAGAGAAACAAAAGAGUAUUAAGGAAUUGUUCUGCAGUAUUCAAGUUGCAGCUAGAAAUAUUAACUGAUGAUCACCACUAAAGUUAUACAAUUUGAGACUAGAAAUAUCUUAACUCAGUACCUUUAAAAGGGCGUUUAUAGCAGAACGCAAUUCACUCCUGAUUGUGCGACAUUUUUCAAUGUCUGCAUCAGUUAAAUCCAAUGUUUCUCGUAAUUGUGCUGAGAUAACAGGAUCUAGUGUAGGCUUUACCGAGUUGAUCCAUUCGUGGUGAUUUUGCCUGAACUCAUAACUGCAUAUAAACAGGAAAGAAGUAUUUUAUUCAAGCCAAAUGGAGGAUUUCCAGAAUUGGUCCCUGUAGUAUCAAACAUAUGUAAACCAAAUAAUGCAAACUUCACGACUUCCAUAAUAAUUAAGGAGAAUAUGGAGCAUAGCAGCAACAAGGCCAACAAAUUAAAGACUUUCUGACUUUUCAGUGAUAAUAAAUUAAAACGCACAAUAACUACAGAAAUUAGAGCACAGAAAAGGCAAAAGGUGAGAAUAAAAGGACAUAAAGCACAGAAAAACACACUAAAAUAAAAAACCUUGAUUAUCUUAAAGCAUUCUUUUCAAUUUUAACCUGCAAUCGCUACAAUGGGGAAAGGCAGUAACUGUCCCUUUAAUGGAAACCAAAGUCUACGUUAGUUCCUAGUUUGACAACCUUCACUUUUCCUUUCUCAUCACACAGUUGUUACCAGCUCAUAUUCACAUAAUCACUAUCUCACUUUUCUUCAGUUCUCUGUGUUAUCUUGCCUACACUGUCUUUGGCAUUAUAUAGAAACUUUUGGAAUGCAUGAUGCAUCAAUCAAAUACCAACCUAACUGCUUCAUGCACUAAUAAUCCCAACACCUAGAACAAGGACACCAUGGAGUAAAUUAUAAGCAUCCAUUUGAAAAGAAGAUCUUACAGAUUAUAGCAUAAAAGAUGUACUACAUAAUCUUAGCGUAGUGCACCAAGCCAGGUUGCCAAAAAAUCUCUUUGUCAGUUUGAAAAUGUCAACACCCAUCCACCUACCAUACCCUGUAGAGUAACUAUGUGACCAAGGCUCCACAAACUAUAAACCUUGCAAAUAAGAUUUCUGAGAAAAGCUUAAAGCCUUAAACUAGAAAAAACAUCAUACAAAACUGGUACAGACAACUCCAUUUGUCCAUGCAUUCAAAUGAUGUUAUCGAACCCAUAUCCAAAGCUAGGUAAAAAUAUUUAAAUUUAAAGGAACUUUAUUAGAAAACAAAAGCAAUAUAUGCAUCAUGGACCAAAAGGUCUACGUGAAACAAAACUGAAAUAAAUAAUCUAAAAGAAGAAAUAUUUUCAGUAGUAAUAACUGAAACAUAUUAAUUCAAGGUAAUACUAUCUCUUUGCUACCUAUAACCUCACCUCUUAAUUAUCUGCAUGGCAUUUGCUAGCAUUCUUAAUGGAGAAGAUUUCCCAUCGCCAUUUGCUUGAAUGACACUGAAUGUUUUUAAGCUUGGAACCUUCGAUUUUAUAUAAUCACUUAGCUUUUCAUGCCUCAGAACUUGUCCUGAAAGGUGAGCCUAAUAAGUAAUCUAGGAUAACCAACAAAAACUAAUUACUAAAAGAAUUUGAAUGAAAAAUCUUUACAACGAUUGUUAAGAGGAAAAGAACAUACUUCCAUAAAGUUUCUCGAUGGAUUUUAUCACCACCUGAGUCCGGUCUGCAGGAACCUUUGUUAACUGAAAACAGUCAUCGGCAAUGACAAAAGUCCUUGGAUUGCGUUGUGCAGCAUAUGGGACCUGCAGCAGCACAUGACCAACACGACGAAGUACGCUAGGAUCCUUUGCAAACCAUCCUACACGAAAUAAAUUGAGACACUUAAGAGGCUAGACAAUCUCUUUCCUUAUGUUCUAAAUUUGCAGAUACAUGAGAAGAACUCUCAUGUCAGAAUGCAAACUCUGUCCUGAAUUAAAUCCCAGGCUUGCAGUCCAUGUGUUUUACCAUAUCAACAAUAAUAGAAGUCAAAAUUUUAUAACAUGAGCCCCGCAGAAGUAAUGCUUUUCAAAGAAAGAAACUCUAAUGCUCACAACUCAAACUCUCCGUCCUUAAGUAAGUCCUAUACUUUCAACCUUACCAUAUUGACAAUAAUAGAAGUCAAAAUUUUGUAUGAGAUUCCAGAAGUAAUGCUCUUCAAUGAAAAGAACCAAUAAUAUUAUCAAUAUAUUUUAUUCAGAAAUCGACACUUUCCAACAAUAUGAACGAUAAACAUUUAGCACACCACUACAUUCAAAGUGCAAACAACUUCACCAGCAGGAAAUAGUUCUCACAAACUUCACAUCAUAUGCCAAUGCCACUACAUUAAAGUGUUGGAGAAGAAUAACAAAGUGCAGUUUUACAUAUCAUGUCAAUUACACCAACCCCAUAAGAGAAGUCGCUUCCAAGAAUUUUGCUACCAGCCUAGCAUUCAAACUAAGUCACUUAAAUAUUCAAAAGAGAAGGACAAGGACAUCACUUCAAAGAUGUAUAAAAGGAAAACUUUCAAAAUAGCUAAACUCUAAAUGCUUGGUGUCUGGGUAAGACAAUGAAUACAUACCUACUGUGUCAAGACUUUCUGAAACAGUAAUAACCCCAGAAAGGGAGACAGUCCCAUGAGAUGGUCGAAAGCCAAGUACAGCACAGUUUCCAGCAGGUAACCGCACACCACCAUCAGUAUCUAUGCCUGUUAUAUUUCGAAAGUUAAAUAUGCAUAUGAUUCUGACAGAGACAUUUUUACACAACAUUCAAACAGUACAUGAGGAGUCAAGCUUACCACAAGAAUAAUAUAUGACAUCGAAAUCAUAUGUAUUUGUGAUAGACUAUCAUACAUAAACAGUAAUGAGCCACAACAAAACACAUCUAAUCUCACUGCUCGAAGAAUUAGCCCAUCAAAACUUUUUUACGGCAUCCCGAUUCCCGAGAAAUGACAGCAUAAUUACACCUCUCACAGAAGAAAAGCAACAGUGUAGUGCUGAAAUCCAAAGUUCAAAUUUAAAUUAUCCAUACAUAAUAACCUUUCGUGCUUAGCAAGGGAUCUUAAUCCCACUCACAGAACGAAUUCCUGAUAAUUUCUUGAAAAUACUCGGAUUUUAAUUAAAUUUUUAUGGUACUGAAUGAAGUUACUGAUAUAUUUAAUACAAAUUCCAUACAAGCAAAAACUUCUUAUUCUAUUAGCGGGGAUUGUGUCAAACUUUAGAUGGCCAAGGAACAAAAUCCAAUAUCAUUAAUCAUAAAACGAAUUUCAACCUGUCUGGUUUCAAGAGAAAAACCAUGCUAGCAGCAUUUUAGUCUAAUGAAAAAUUUCAUGGACACAAAAAUCAAGGAAAGGUCAAUUUUAAUACUGGGACUACAAAAAGCACUCAAACAAGACGUGACUAAACUUUCAUCUCUAAAUGGUAUAUUUCAACAAUAUAUAUAAACAAGACUAACGUACAUGUCCACCUGCAUACUAAAGGGGAAGCCAAGAAAGAACUUUUAAUGGAAUGAACUAUCAUCUCACCCAAUGAAAACUCAACAAGUUUAGCAGCAACAGCGACAGCAGCACCACUCGAAGCUCCACCUGGUACUCGUGCAGGUGCAGCAGGAUUUGUUGGUGUAUCAUAAUGCUUGUUUUCCCCACUUACACUAUUGAACAGAAGAGGAAACAAGAUAUCAAAGGAAAUAAAAGUAGUAAUAAAUUGUAGUACUAUCUUAAUAGAAUAAGGGUGACGAACAAACCCUAACGCCAUGUCAUCCACGACAGUUUUCCCAACACAUGUAGCACCUCCAUCAACAAGGGCUGCAACCACAGGACAUGUCCGAGUUGCAGGUUCAUGAUCGCUGGACCAGUCUGGGUUGCCAAACCCAGUAACAAAUCCUUCAAUGUUAAAUCUGAAAAUCAAGAUAAAAAAAUUUAAUUUCUGGGCUUACUAUAUCAUAUUCAAUCCAAAUAAUUCUUAGGUUAUCAUCAGCCACCAAACUCUUCUGAAAUAAGCUCACGCAUUAAAUAAUCAAAUCCCCAUGCACAUGUCUUACAUUCAAGCUCCCACCUAAAAUUUUGCAAGAGAAAGGAAACAAACCACAAACAACAUUCAAACUAUAAUCGCGGUAAUCUUCAAACGAAACGACACCCUCUUUACAAUGCAUUUAUUUCCAAAUACACACUAGUUUUGCUAGUUAUAAAUUCCCUAUUAUUUCAAGUCACUUCCCACUAACAACCUUAAACCAAAUGACCAAAACAACGCCAUUCAAAUAGAAGCAACAUAGACAUAUAUGUUCCUAUGUGUGUGAGUACUUCAGAGAGCUCACCAACACCAAAAAGGUAAGUUGCAGUAUUACCCAAAUCAUCACUAACUAAACACCACAAAUCAUCCCAACUUCUGCAAAUAAAAAAUACAAAACAAAACCACGGUGAACUAAACUAAAGACGCUCACACAUCAGAAACCGCAAAAGAUAGGCCAGUAAGAGGGUGAGGAGCUUUGGGAGGGGCGGGCUGCGGCGGCGGCAACAGCUGCAACCGCUCUAUAAACGCUCCGAAAUCAGCCCUCACCGCCCGCUUCAGCUUCUUCGUCAUAAUCAAUAUCCCCGCAAUCCCAAGCCCUAAUAAAACCCACAAAUUCGCUGAUGAAGACGCCAUUUUUGCAGGAUUUUCAAGAAUUCAGCCGUUCAGCUGAUCAAUUGCUAUUGUAUGUUGUGAUAGCCCACCGAAAUAAAUAAUUAGAUUAGAUAGUUGAGCGAGGAUGUAGGAGAAAACCUAGGCGAGAGUCCGAAUUUUGGGGUGUUUGAGACUUUGAGGUGAGAAUUUUGCAUUGGGGUUUAUCAAGAUUUUUAUGUUUUUAUAAUUUUAGGGAAAAUAACUCUUCACUCCCAUUUUAUCUUUUUAGCUAUUCACCCCAGAAUACCAUAUUCGCGUUAUAACUUUUUAAAUUCCCGGUUUAUAAUAUACCAUAUCCGAUAAUAAAAAUCCUACGAUUUUAAACUUAUUUAUUUACCAAAAAUUGUGAUAUCAAACUAUUUGAAUUAUGUAGAAGUGAAAAUUUAUGUCAACAUAAUUUAUUUUGGACAAAUUCUAUCAACAUUCUUCCUCGUCGAAUUCUGACACUGCUUCUAUGUUCCUCAAGUGGUUGGUCAAGUGUUUUAUGUAAACAUGUCUUCUUCUUUUUUUUCUUUUUUUGAGAAGUUAUGUAAACAUGUCUAAAAACUAUGGGUGUCGCUCGUUGUGAUAUCUAUUUCAUUGUUUGAGGUCAUGUUUGUUAAUCUUCCUUGUCUUGAGAAGUUGAUCUAACAGUUGAGUUGAUAAAUUUAUUAUGAGAAAAUGAGGGACAACAUCAAAUAUGUAUCUCUUUUAUAUAUUUUCAACAAAUCUUCUUAUCAGGUGGAUGGGAUCCUUUGUUCUAUAAUUUAUUACGUUCCACCGUGUUUCAUUUCUAAUUUGUUAGUUUUUACUUUUUUUUCUUCAAUUUUAGUCUAUUACUCCCUUCGUCCAUAUAGUAAUGUCCCAUUUUUCUUAAUGGGACGUCUCAAUACAAAUGUCUCAUUCAUUUUUUGCAAUAUAUUAUCUCUCUACAUCUAAUAUUUAAAUAAUUUCGAUCAAUUCACUUUUUCUACUUUUUACACAUUUCUUAAUCUCCGUGCCCAAAAGUUAUGAGACACUACUAUUGGGACGGAGGGAGUAUAUUUUUAAGAUAAUUUACUAAAGUUCACUCAUCCAAUUAGUGCUUAUUAAUUUUUUUUUUUUAAUUUGGUUUGAUAAUUGAUUAUUUGGGUUAACUCCCUCCGUCUCAGCGAAGGUGAGGCGUUUCCUUUAAUUUAUUCCAAAGGAAAACAAUUCAACUUCGUUAGGACGGCUCGAAAAGGAAUACGACUCAACUUCGUUGGGACCUGUCCUCAUAAAAAGUAUCCACUUUUAAAUCGCACGAGUUUUAAUAAAGUGAUUAAAUGUGUUGUAAGUGAAGUAAGGGGUCACACUUUAUUGUGAGUGAACAUUUUAUAAAAAAUAGGUUAGAUACAUUUUAUGAGGACAGAUGAAAAUAUUAAAUUGAAUAUAUUUUAUGAGAACGAAAGAAAUAAUAAUUUAUGUUAUUAAAAAUAAAAUAUGAUAAAAUAUAAUAAGUUGUGGAAAUUAUGAGACAUGUGUUACAACGGGGUACACGAUCGAGUAAACUUUUACAACUCAAACUAAAACAAUCGAAGCUAGAAACUGAACUAAGAAAAUAAACAAAUUAGAAGUAACAAGGAAGCUAGAACGGAAUUACAACGAAAUAAAACAAACGUGAUAAAAGGCGUCGAGUCGAGGUGAAACUCUUCCCGCAAGAAGAUUAUCGCCCCGGUAGUGCUCACGGUGUUGGCGAAUCUUCCCCAAAGGUAAAACGACGACGUCUCGUUGGAUGUAGCACCACAAUCCGGCGAGCUCCGGCGAACAGAAUAGGAUCAAGAACUGAGCAAUAUGAAGUGAGAGUAAGUGAGGAAGUGCAGAUUUUCGUAGAGGUGCAAUGUCAUGCUUCUAGUCUUCUAUUUAUAGGCAUCUCACCACUCAUGAGGGAGAUUAAAUCCUCCAUGAAGAGGAUUAAAACCAAGAAACUGUUAUGCAUGUUACAAAUUCAAAACCAUUUGAAUUUGUUGUUACAAAUUGAUUAUGCAUCAAUGGCAAAAAUCAAAUCUAUGCAGUUUUCGAAAAUUGCUAGAAACUGUUAUGCUUCACUGCAGACAUAAGGCUGGAAGAUUGGGCUUCGCGGUUGGGCUGUUACAAAAUACAAACGGGCCAAAAAUAAUAAGUACAACAAGCCCAAAGGUAUUUUGUCCAAAAAAUUAUAUAGUUUAGACCCAAACACCAAUUGCCAAGAUCCAAGUCCUUGGCCGUGGCCCGGACCGCGGCGACGUCAUCGUCCAUCCGAUCGAUCGUCGCCGGCGGCGCGCGAGGCCAAGGCCUUCAUCCAAGCCCACUAGCAAGCCCACAAGUUAUUAGCUCCAUUAGCAUUGCUAUUCUUAUACAAGAGUAUUCUUCCCUUGUUUUCCAAUGUGGGACAAUAGCACUUCACAAGUGUUAUUUCCCUUCUCAACAUCCAAACUUUGAUAUACAAUAUCUCACUCACCGGAAAUCGGUUUUGAGACUUCAAGUAUACCACGUUCAUCUACUCGAGACGUAGAUUAACAUCCAAUAAUUAUUUCAAUUAAAUAAUAAAUAUUUAAUUAAAUAAUUAAUUUCAAAAAUAGUCUAAAAACCAUAUUUCCAACAACAUGUGAUCUCAAUCCGUUCACCCGGAUCACCCCGGUUACAUUCUCUAACUAAACUCCAUUUUGUUUUGGAUGUUCAUGUUAAUGCCCAUUAGCUCAAUGUAAUUAAUUUGUUGCCAGUUUUCAUAAUAUUAUAAUAUUGCUAAAAGUUAUUCAUGUGGUGUGAUGCAUGGGUUUUUAAUCAGGCUUUAUUAAUAUUAAUAUGGGAUCCUUGUUUAGAAAAAUAUUUCAAUUAUAAUAAUCUGAAAAAGGUUCGCGAGCAAUGAAAGAUGAAUCUAACUAACUAAUAUAACGUAAAAAUUAACAUCAAUUCUUUUUCUCUUUUUCUUCAUAUUGGAUAUUGCCCCUAAACAGAUAUAGUAGGGAAUAUAAUAUAUAGGAUGACAAUAUACAUGAAUGUAGCCCACUUAUUAAUUAGAAAUGGAAAAGAAAGAAAGGAAAACAACAACAAUAUCGAAGAGAAGUAGAAUUACUACUCAAAGUAAGUGAUAUUGUUGAAUUAUUGGAGAAGAUAAAGGAUAGUCUUAUUAGUUGAUUGUAGGGCAAGGUCAUAUAGGCUGGGCUAAAGCAACCAACGGGCACUUCAUCUCGCAGGAGAGCUUGAGAAGCUCGUCGAGAUUGACCGGAUUGGUCUUGUCCUCUGCCCACUCGAACCGCUGAACCAGCUUGGCCACCCAGAGCUCCACCGUAGCCAUCCCUAAAUUCUUCCCCGGGCAAACCCUUCGCCCGGCACCGAACGGCGCAAGCCUCAAAUCACGGCCGCGGACGUCCACAUCCUCUCCGCCCAUCUCCGUAACGAACCUCUCCGGCUUAAACUCGAGCGGCUCGGCCCACACGGCCGGGUCGUGGGUGAUGGCCCACAUGUUGACCAUAGCGGUAGUUUGGGUGGGGACCACCAUCCCGUUGGUGAGAGUGACGUCAGACGUAGAGAGACGGGCCCACGACAAGAGCGGGCCCGGUGGAUGCAACCUGAGCGUCUCCUUGACCACGGCCUGUAAGUAGGGCAGCCUUGCCAUGUCAGCAUCCGUGACGUUGCGGGUCCCAACGACGUGGUCUAGUUCUUGACGCAUCUUGGAUUGUACCUCGGGGUGCAACACCAGCUCAGCCAUAAUCCACUCAGUCAGCAACGCGGUUGUGUCCGUUCCUCUGAAUAUCAUUUCCUGCAUGCAAGUAUGUACGUGAGAAUAAGAAAAGAUGGAAUACAUAAACUUUCACACUUUUUGGAAUUUCUCACAAAAGUCAACUCCGAUGAAAUUGAAUCUGACGUGGCAUUGGAUUCUCAUGACUUGGAUGAUAUAUGUGGUGUUAAAUACUCUAAAACUUGGAUAUAGUUCAAUUAUUGUGAAAUAAAUUGUACCAAAAUAAAUCUUUAAGAUAUUCCACGUCAGCAGAAUCUGGCACCACGUCACGUCUGAUUCAAUUUCAUCUGAGUUGACUUUAAUUCCAGAAAGUAUGGAAGUUUGUGUAUUUAGAAAGAAAAAAAAUUAUUUUGGAAAAAACCAGAAAUUGUGUAAAGUUUGUGGAUUUAAAACAAAUUAACCCUAAAAUUUAUAAUCUACAUAAACAACAUACCCACAAAACCGCGAUCAUGUCAUCCUGGUUGAGCUUCUCCUCACCGUCCAAAGAGAGCAAAACAUCGACGAAAUCAGCAGCAUCGAUAGAAACUCCAUUUUUCUGAUUCUUGAGCUGGUGCUCGUGGAUGAUGCCAGAGACAAGCUUCCUCACUCGGGGCACGAGGGCUUGGCAGCGAGCAACGAUACGAGAAGGAUCGUAAAAGUAUGACAACCAUGGGAGAUAAUCAGACCAGUUGAAGGCACCCAGAAGAUUGAACCCUUCUUCCACCAUUUGUUUAAGCUCCCUCAACUCCUCACCCUCUUCCGUGGGGUCGUAUCGUUUCCCAAAUACACUGCCCAUGAUGUUGUUCAAAGCCGCAGCUUGCAGGUGCUUCCUCAAACUCACGGCUCCCUUAAGCUUCUGCUCUUUCUCUAUGUUAUGUAGCAUCGUGUCGCAAUCCUGCUGGCGGCCCUGUUCGUGCGCCGCAACGCGUCGAGGUGCAAACAGGUGGGAUGCGGCGAUGCGGCGAAGGAGGCGCCAGUAGGUGCCGUUGGGAGCGAAGCCGAUGGCGCGGCUGAACAUGAGGCUGCGAGCCGACUGCUUGAUCGGGCGGUCCGCGAAGUUGGGAGAUGUUAGGAUCUCUUUAGCCACCUGAGGCAGGAACAGACCCAGGAAUUUAAUAAUGACCGGGCGAGAUUUCACCAAAUGAUUCUAAUAAAAUUUUAGUAAAGAAAACGAGUUGAAUUUUGGAAUAAUUAUUUGAAACUACACAAUCAUGACCAGGCGAGAUUAACAUAUAUAGAUAAAAAGAAAAUUAUAUCAUAUAAAUAUAUAUAUAAAUAUAUAGGUAAUAAAAAAAAUUGACCAGGCGACGGCCGAGGGUGCCUGGCCUUUAAAUCUGUCCCUUACCUGAGGGUCGGACGCCACCACAACCGGUGUGGAGCCUAAGCUGAAAGCCAUGAGCUGCUUGGCAUUGUGGACCUUAGCCAUAGCGGCUAAGGAGCGGUGAGCCAAGCCGCGACUAAGAGUGAAGAGGCUCCCGAAAAUAGGGAGCCCCCGUGGGCCACGGAUGGUGAUGCUGCCGUUACUAUUCCGGCCAUUCUUCCAUGCAGUUCCGCCUUGGGAGAAAAACCAUGUGAAGAGAGCAAUAGAGGUGAAAGAUAAGAGAAUUGCGACGAUUGCAUAUUCAUCAAGGAGAGUCUUGG
Molecule: long non-coding RNA, 37726 nt
Filed under: Salvia miltiorrhiza (redroot sage)
Lineage: Eukaryota; Viridiplantae; Streptophyta; Magnoliopsida; Lamiales; Lamiaceae
Description: long non-coding RNA (SMIL_LNC007345)
Rfam family: Small nucleolar RNA Z122 (bases 11614-11716)
Source: RNAcentral